CAAUAUUGUUUCUUAAAAUUUAGGAACAAGUAACGAGGGGGUGAAAAAGUCUUGACGAGAUACAUUAAUCGAGGGAUGGAUAUUGUUGGGACAAAUAGCUACAUUCAGAUUGAAGAGACUGAUGUAGAAGAAACAAGAUGUGGAUAACUCCUCUGACUAAGAUGUAAGAGGAAACAGGUUGAUAACUCCACUAAUAAGAUGAAAGUGGACGAGGAUACUAUCUUUUUAGAUGACUAAGACCUGCUUGAAUGAUUUCUUAGUGUGAUUUAAUCAUAUAAAGUGCUGGGUUUGCUUUAUGUUUGCCUAUGGAUAAACACAUAUAGGCAAACAUAAUAUGUGCUGAUUAUAUAAUACAUCUAGGAUGUACAAGUGUGUUCUCUGAUUGUGAGCCUGCCCUAUAAGUAUAAUUAUGUACGAUAUUACUUGGGUGUGAUUUAACUUUCUGGUUGUGUGUCUAUCUUACACAUUGAAUGCUAUAGUACCUAUAAUGGUGGCUUAGUUGUUCCACUUAAUGCUCUCCUAAGAAACUGAUAUCUUGUAAUGGGUGUAGUGGCAGUAGUGCUCCCAAAGUUAGCCUCUGUUUGAGGCCCUUUUUUGGGGGGAAACAGAUUUUGUAAUAGUGAUUUUUUUGGAGAAUAUAUGGUUAAAAAGUAAGGAAAAGUUUUGGGUUACAUGCAAAAUUAUUUUAUUGGAAGCAUGUGUGGUUGAAAAUGAGUUUGAGGAAAAAUGAAUUUUUAGAUAAUGAGGC
This 748-nucleotide long non-coding RNA is filed under the name Olea europaea subsp. europaea. The record is from RNAcentral. Lineage: Eukaryota; Viridiplantae; Streptophyta; Magnoliopsida; Lamiales; Oleaceae.